This 1379-nucleotide ribosomal RNA is filed under the name Dictyocheirospora bannica. RNAcentral's name for it is "partial small subunit ribosomal RNA". It matches the Rfam family "Eukaryotic small subunit ribosomal RNA", at positions 69 to 1105 of the family's 1831-position model. Lineage: Eukaryota; Fungi; Ascomycota; Dothideomycetes; Pleosporales; Dictyosporiaceae. The record is from RNAcentral.
GCAAUUAUACCGUGAAACUGCGAAUGGCUCAUUAAAUCAGUUAUCGUUUAUUUGAUAGUACCUUACUACUUGGAUACCCGUGGUAAUUCUAGAGCUAAUACAUGCUAAAAACCCCGACUUCGGGAGGGGUGUGUUUAUUAGAUAAAAAACCAACGCCCUUCGGGGCUCCUUGGUGAUUCAUGAUAACCUCUCAGAUCGCACGGCCUUGCGCCGGCGACGGUUCAUUCAAAUUUCUGCCCUAUCAACUUUCGAUGGUAAGGUAUUGGCUUACCAUGGUUUCAACGGGUAACGGGGAAUUAGGGUUCGAUUCCGGAGAGUGAGCCUGAGAAACGGCUCACACAUCCAAGGAAGGCAGCAGGCGCGCAAAUUACCCAAUCCCGACACGGGGAGGUAGUGACAAUAAAUACUGAUACAGGGCUCUUUUGGGUCUUGUAAUUGGAAUGAGUACAAUUUAAACCUCUUAACGAGGAACAAUUGGAGGGCAAGUCUGGUGGACAUUCAGCUCCCAUUCUGCUGACGCCAGAGAUAGUCGGGCAGCUUCUUCAGAAGCUGUUAUGCCGGCUAGUCGAGUACCCGCUAAUUGAUGGGAGGGUACCGGCAAGACAACCUGGAUCGGGGAAGGCUAAGGUACCUAGUGCUAUGCUAAUCCCGAGCAGAGCUAUCAUGGAGCGAUUCGUGAAUAGCCUGUGUAGAGCGCGGUAAGGUGUCGGUCAGCUCACGUAGUUGGCUUAAGGGACGUGCCAUUCCCAUUCGAAAGAGUGGCUGCCAGCAGAAGCGCCCAUCACGCGAGCGCUGGCAGGUUCAAACUUGCUUGCAGAGCAAGUCAUUGGAAGUUAUAUUAAAAGGCCAGCAGCCGCGGUAAUUCCAGCUCCAAUAGCGUAUAUUAAAGUUGUUGCAGUUAAAAAGCUCGUAGUUGAAUCUUUGGCCUGGCUGGCGGGUCCGCCUCACCGCGUGCACUUGUCCGGCCGGGCCUUCUCUUCUGGAGAACCGCAUGCCCUUCACUGGGCGUGUUGGGGACCAGGACUUUUACUUUGAAAAAAUUAGAGUGUUCAAAGCAGGCCUUUGCUCGAAUACGUUAGCAUGGAAUAAUAGAAUAGGACGUGCGGUCCUAUUUUGUUGGUUUCUAGGACCGCCGUAAUGAUUAAUAGGGACAGUCGGGGGCAUCAGUAUUCAAUUGUCAGAGGUGAAAUUCUUGGAUUUAUUGAAGACUAACUACUGCGAAAGCAUUUGCCAAGGAUGUUUUCAUUAAUCAGUGAACGAAAGUUAGGGGAUCGAAGACGAUCAGAUACCGUCGUAGUCUUAACCAUAAACUAUGCCGACUAGGGAUCGGGCGGUGUUAUCGAUUUGACCCGCUCGGCACCUUGCGAGAAAUCAAAGUG